GAGUUUGAUCAUGGCUCAGGACGAACGCUGGCGGCGUGCUUAACACAUGCAAGUCGAACGGUAAGGCUCCAGCUUGCUGGGGUACACGAGUGGCGAACGGGUGAGUAACACGUGGGUGACCUGCCCUGCACUUCGGGAUAAGCCUGGGAAACUGGGUCUAAUACCGGAUAGGACCGCACCGUGAGGGUGUGGUGGAAAGUUUUUUCGGUGUGGGAGUGGGCCCGGCCGGCCUAUCAGCUUGUUGGUGGGGUAAGUGGCCUACCAAGGCGGCGACGGGUAGGCCGG
Molecule: ribosomal RNA, 285 nt
Filed under: uncultured microorganism
Description: partial 16S ribosomal RNA
Rfam family: Bacterial small subunit ribosomal RNA
Source: RNAcentral